UUGAAGAGUUUGAUCAUGGCUCAGAUUGAACGCUGGCGGCAGGCCUAACACAUGCAAGUCGAGCGGUAGCACAGAGAGCUUGCUCUCGGGUGACGAGCGGCGGACGGGUGAGUAAUGUCUGGGAAACUGCCUGAUGGAGGGGGAUAACUACUGGAAACGGUAGCUAAUACCGCAUAACGUCGCAAGACCAAAGUGGGGGACCUUCGGGCCUCAUGCCAUCAGAUGUGCCCAGAUGGGAUUAGCUAGUAGGUGGGGUAACGGCUCACCUAGGCGACGAUCCCUAGCUGGUCUGAGAGGAUGACCAGCCACACUGGAACUGAGACACGGUCCAGACUCCUACGGGAGGCAGCAGUGGGGAAUAUUGCACAAUGGGCGCAAGCCUGAUGCAGCCAUGCCGCGUGUAUGAAGAAGGCCUUCGGGUUGUAAAGUACUUUCAGCGGGGAGGAAGGCGAUAAGGUUAAUAACCUUGUCGAUUGACGUUACCCGCAGAAGAAGCACCGGCUAACUCCGUGCCAGCAGCCGCGGUAAUACGGAGGGUGCAAGCGUUAAUCGGAAUUACUGGGCGUAAAGCGCACGCAGGCGGUCUGUCAAGUCGGAUGUGAAAUCCCCGGGCUCAACCUGGGAACUGCAUUCGAAACUGGCAGGCUAGAGUCUUGUAGAGGGGGGUAGAAUUCCAGGUGUAGCGGUGAAAUGCGUAGAGAUCUGGAGGAAUACCGGUGGCGAAGGCGGCCCCCUGGACAAAGACUGACGCUCAGGUGCGAAAGCGUGGGGAGCAAACAGGAUUAGAUACCCUGGUAGUCCACGCCGUAAACGAUGUCGAUUUGGAGGUUGUGCCCUUGAGGCGUGGCUUCCGGAGCUAACGCGUUAAAUCGACCGCCUGGGGAGUACGGCCGCAAGGUUAAAACUCAAAUGAAUUGACGGGGGCCCGCACAAGCGGUGGAGCAUGUGGUUUAAUUCGAUGCAACGCGAAGAACCUUACCUGGUCUUGACAUCCACAGAACUUGCAGAGAUGCUUGGUGCCUUCGGGAACUGUGAGACAGGUGCUGCAUGGCUGUCGUCAGCUCGUGUUGUGAAAUGUUGGGUUAAGUCCCGCAACGAGCGCAACCCUUAUCCUUUGUUGCCAGCGGUUAGGCCGGGAACUCAAAGGAGACUGCCAGUGAUAAACUGGAGGAAGGUGGGGAUGACGUCAAGUCAUCAUGGCCCUUACGACCAGGGCUACACACGUGCUACAAUGGCAUAUACAAAGAGAAGCGACCUCGCGAGAGCAAGCGGACCUCAUAAAGUAUGUCGUAGUCCGGAUUGGAGUCUGCAACUCGACUCCAUGAAGUCGGAAUCGCUAGUAAUCGUAGAUCAGAAUGCUACGGUGAAUACGUUCCCGGGCCUUGUACACACCGCCCGUCACACCAUGGGAGUGGGUUGCAAAAGAAGUAGGUAGCUUAACCUUCGGGAGGGCGCUUACCACUUUGUGAUUCAUGACUGGGGUGAAGUCGUAACAAGGUAACCGUAGGGGAACCUGCGGUUGGAUCACCUCCUU
Molecule: ribosomal RNA, 1534 nt
Filed under: Klebsiella quasipneumoniae
Lineage: Bacteria; Pseudomonadati; Pseudomonadota; Gammaproteobacteria; Enterobacterales; Enterobacteriaceae
Description: 16S ribosomal RNA
Rfam family: Bacterial small subunit ribosomal RNA
Source: RNAcentral